AAUAUUGGACAAUGGGGUGGAAGCCUGAUCCAGCCAUGCCGCGUGCAUGAAGACACCCUAUGGGUUAAAACUGUUUUUAUACAAGGAAAUAAGAGGUAUGUACCCCUGGAUGACGGUAUUAUAAGAAUAAGGAGCUGUAAUUCUUUGGUAGCAGCCGCGGUAAUUCGGAGGGUGCGAGCGUUAUUAAUAAUCACUUCCUUUAAAAAGCCGCAGGGGGGCAAUUAAGUCAGGGGUGAAAUAUUGCAGCUCUCACGUAGCGAUGCCCUUGAUACAGGUUGUCGCGAGAGUUUGUGGAGGGGACGGAAUAUUCGGGUAGAGGUGAAAUGCAUAGAUAUUCCGAGAACACCGAUCGGGGAGGCAGGUCACUAACCAUAUACUGACGCUGAUGGAGGGAAGGGUGGGGAGCGAACAAGAUUUGAUACCCUUGUAGUUCAAGCCGUA
This 441-nucleotide ribosomal RNA is filed under the name uncultured marine bacterium. RNAcentral describes it as "bacterial SSU rRNA". It matches the Rfam family "Bacterial small subunit ribosomal RNA", at positions 360 to 804 of the family's 1533-position model. The record is from RNAcentral.